This 497-nucleotide ribosomal RNA is filed under the name uncultured bacterium. Its description in RNAcentral is "partial 16S ribosomal RNA". It matches the Rfam family "Bacterial small subunit ribosomal RNA", at positions 28 to 507 of the family's 1533-position model. The record is from RNAcentral.
GAUGAACGCUGGCGGCGUGCCUAAUACAUGCAAGUCGAGCGAACGGACGAGAAGCUUGCUUCUCUGAUGUUAGCGGCGGACGGGUGAGUAACACGUGUAUAACCUACCUAUAAGACUGGGAUAACUUCGGGAAACCGGAGCUAAUACCGGAUAAGAUUUUGAACCGCAUGGUUCAAAAGUAAAAGACGGUCUUGCUGUCACUAAUAGAUGGAUCCGCGCUGCAUUAGCUAGUUGGUAAGGUAACGGCUUACCAAGGCAACGAUGCAUAGCCGACCUGAGAGGGUGAUCGGCCACACUGGAACUGAGACACGGUCCAGACUCCUACGGGAGGCAGCAGUAGGGAAUCUUCCGCAAUGGGCGAAAGCCUGACGGAGCAACGCCGCGUGAGUGAUGAAGGUCUUCGGAUCGUAAAACUCUGUUAUUAGGGAAGAACAUAUGUGUAAGUAACUGUGCACAUCUUGACGGUACCUAAUCAGAAAGCCACGGCUAACUACGUG